This 220-nucleotide ribosomal RNA is filed under the name uncultured bacterium. RNAcentral's name for it is "partial 16S ribosomal RNA". It matches the Rfam family "Bacterial small subunit ribosomal RNA", at positions 15 to 226 of the family's 1533-position model. The record is from RNAcentral.
GAUCAUGGCUCAGGAUGAACGCUAGCGACAGGCUUAACACAUGCAAGUCGAGGGGCAGCAUGGUCUUAGCUUGCUAAGACUGAUGGCGACCGGCGCACGGGUGAGUAACACGUAUCCAACCUGCCGUCUACUCUUGGACAGCCUUCUGAAAGGAAGACUAAUACAAGAUGGCAUCAUGAGUCCGCAUGUUCACAUGAUUAAAGGUAUUCCGGUAGACGAG